ACUCACGUAGCUUAAACUAAAGCAUGACACUGAAGAUGUUAAGACGGGCCCUAGAAAGCCCCAUGGGUA
This 69-nucleotide transfer RNA is filed under the name Ilisha elongata (elongate ilisha). Its description in RNAcentral is "tRNA-Phe". It matches the Rfam family "tRNA". Rfam says of the family: Transfer RNA (tRNA) molecules are approximately 80 nucleotides in length. Their secondary structure includes four short double-helical elements and three loops (D, anti-codon, and T loops). Lineage: Eukaryota; Metazoa; Chordata; Actinopteri; Clupeiformes; Pristigasteridae. The record is from RNAcentral.